Juglans regia (Persian walnut) is the source of this 2234-nucleotide RNA transcript. It is a transcript of the gene named protein RETICULATA-RELATED 4, chloroplastic-like, with no coding region annotated. The transcript has 12 exons. The record is from RefSeq and is a predicted model, not a curated record. NCBI's taxonomy places the organism in Eukaryota, Viridiplantae, Streptophyta, Magnoliopsida, Fagales, Juglandaceae.
GACAAACCCUACCCCUUCAAGCACCUUGUCCUCAAGGUGCGAUUAAGCUUCAAUCCUUCUCUUGUAGCUGAGGCAAGCUUCUUCCUUAUUUGAAAGGCAUCAAGGCAUCCAUCAUAUACUGAUGCAGUACUAGCACACAAGCGUGACUCACUUUCCUCAUCAGUCAACCACAAGCCAAAAUCAAUGACUUCCUUCAGCAACUCAUAUACAAGCACCCCGUUUUUGUGCAACAAAUCUUCAUUGAGUACACCAAAGUAAUCUUUGAUGACACCUGCAAUACUCUGUAGCACUCUGAUAUUAGACCCUUGCUUCAUUCCUCUAUCAAAUGGCUUAAAAACAACAUUAAGUGGCAAAAAGUCAAGCAGUCGAGUUCAAAUUUCUUAGCUCCUAAAGCUUCCAAAACCACGACAGCAGCUUGGGAAAACGUCAAACUAAUGUUGAUCAAGGAGACCACAUCCUCCAAACAUCGAGCUAGCAUACCAUUCCUGUUCGAUUUUCCAUCCUAUUGAGUAAUGUGCAGUUUAUCCUUUGAGAGAAUUGGAGCGAUGGAGACGACGAAAAUAGCAACAACAACAAGUACGGGAACAACCGAGGAAACAGCAGCGGAGAAGGAGGGGGAAGAGCGGGGAACGCGGGGGACAAGAACAGGGAGGAGGCGAUGGUGGUGCUGGCGGAGGCGGGGUGACUCUUGGAGAGCAUGUCAAAUGAUCUGAGGGCGGCGGUCGAGGCCGGGAGGAUCCCGGGAUCGGUGAUCGACCGGUUCUUAGAGCUCGAGAAGUCGGGGCUGUUUUGCUGGUUGAUGCAGUUCGGCGGCUUCAAGGAGCGCCUUUUAGCCGACGACCCAUUCCACGCCGUGGUCGGAAUCGAGUACUGCGUCGGAAUGUUCACCAUGGUGAUCCUUGAGUAAUCAUCAAUGAAAGAUAUAAAGUACGAUGCACCUCCGCAUGAUUUAGUGCGAGACAAGCCCCAUAAAUCCGAGUGACUGCAGUCAAGUAUGCCUUUACCCGUGUGACUCCCGGCCUUGAAGCUUCGCUUAUGAUGCUUCCCAUAGACACAAUACUCACAAAAUCCCUUGUCACUAAGCACAUCUUGGGAAUAAGUUCCCUUUUCAUCAAGAUCUCCAUACCUUAUUCACUGAUGUGACACAAUCUUCUAUAUCUUCUAUGCUAUAACGCACUGGAAAUUCAUCACGUUCUAUCACCAUUUGUGCACCAACAACCGUGCUUCCAAGCAAUUUAUACAAGUUUCCAACCCCUUUCAUGACAACCAAAAUACCUUUUCAGACUGUAAUAACUUCAGCUUGCCCAGUGUAUAUGUAGCCACGAGAAUCGAGCUCUGAAAUUAAAACCAUGGAUAUUUGGGAAAAAGAAUGAUGGAAGGGUUUUAGAUUCCGUGCUCGUUUCUUUUCCUGCCCCUACUGUUUCUCUCCGACCACCACUUGCAACUAGUGCUGGAACAAUUGCCAAGUUCUUCCAUAACUGCCCUGAUAAUGCAUUCCAGGUUGCUCUUGCCGGAACCUCAAAUUCUUUUCUACAGAGAUUAGGGGCUGUGGUGGUAUCGAGUCUUAGUUGGUGUUAUUGAACAGUAGAUUCUGAAUACUUUGCUACACCAUCGCAAACUUAUGCUGAGUGCCAUUUACUCUGCUGCUCAGACAGUUACCUGCUGGUUAAGCAAAGUUCCUUCUUGGCUUACUACUUUUGCACCAGCAGAUGCUCUCACCAUGAAAGAGGAAGCCUGGAAUGCAUUCCCAGAAUGCAAAUCAGGUUACCAGUCUAAAAUUUGUUGCUCGAGGUGAUUUUUUGUUAACUGUCUCAGCAGACAAGCGAACCUGAAUUGCAAAUAUUAAUCUGGGUGCAACCCAGAGGAAAUCAUUAGGUACUGGUUUAAGCUCUGAUGGCAUUUUAAGCUGCAAGUGAAGAUUUAAGCAUUAUUAUCAGAGAGCUAUAUUGGCAGAGUAUUCUGGUCCUGUUCUUGGAGUAUUGUCUGCAAUGUUAUAUGGAUGGAGAGGCCGUGUCUGGAAGAAGUUUUGCUAAGUGCAUUCGACAUGGAAAGAAGAAGAAGAUGGUUGAUAUCAGGAAUGUUAGUGCCAAGAAAAACAAGCACAUCAAGAAAAUUAAGGGGCUGGUUCCAUGCUUUCUUCUCCAAGUAAAAGACGAUGAGCUCUUCGUCUGUUGGGAGGAAUCUGUACCCGGGAGGUUUGUUAAAAAAUUCAGCUUGUUCCUUAGUCUUGUUGU